This 253-nucleotide ribosomal RNA is filed under the name uncultured bacterium. RNAcentral's name for it is "partial 16S ribosomal RNA". It matches the Rfam family "Bacterial small subunit ribosomal RNA", at positions 524 to 776 of the family's 1533-position model. The record is from RNAcentral.
UACGGAGGAUGCAAGCGUUAUCCGGAAUGAUUGGGCGUAAAGCGUCCGCAGGUGGCUGUGUAAGUCUGCUGUUAAAGAGUCUAGCUCAACUAGAUAAAAGCAGUGGAAACUACACAGCUAGAGUACGUUCGGGGCAGAGGGAAUUCCUGGUGUAGCGGUGAAAUGCGUAGAGAUCAGGAAGAACACCGGUGGCGAAGGCGCUCUGCUAGGCCGUAACUGACACUGAGGGACGAAAGCUAGGGGAGCGAAUGGG